ACAAUGAAGAGUUUGAUCCUGGCUCAGGAUGAACGCUAGCGGCAGGCCUAACACAUGCAAGUCGAGGGGCAUCACGGAAAAGCUUGCUUUUCUGGUGGCGACCGGCGCACGGGUGCGGAACGCGUAUGGAACCUGCCCCUGUCAGGGGAAUAGCCCAGGGAAACUUGGAUUAAUGCCCCAUGGUACCGUUAUAUCGCAUGAUAUUGCGGUUAAAGAUUUAUCGGACAGGGAUGGCCAUGCGUACCAUUAGUUAGUUGGUGAGGUAACGGCUCACCAAGGCAGCGAUGGUUAGGGGCCCUGAGAGGGGGAUCCCCCACACUGGUACUGAGACACGGACCAGCCUCCUCCGGGUGGCCGCAGUGCGGAAUCGUGCGCUUUGGGCGAAAGCCUGACGCAGCCACGCCGCGUGCCGGAAGACGGCCCUAUGGGUUGUAAACGGCUUUUUAAUGGGAAGAACGCCCGGGUUUCGACCUGGGGUGACGGUACCAUUGGAAUAAGGACCGGCUAACUCCGUGCCAGCAGCCGCGGUAAUACGGAGGGUCCGAGCGUUAUCCGGAAUCAUUGGGUUUAAAGGGUCCGUAGGUGGAUAAUUAAGUCAGAGGUGAAAGUCUGCAGCUCAACUGUAGAAUUGCCUUUGAUACUGGUUAUCUUGAGUUAUUAUGAAGUAGUUAGAAUAUGUAGUGUAGCGGUGAAAUGCAUAGAUAUUACAUAGAAUACCAAUUGCGAAGGCAGAUUACUAAUAAUAUACUGACACUGAUGGACGAAAGCGUGGGGAGCGAACAGGAUUAGAUACCCUGGUAGUCCACGCCGUAAACGAUGGUUACUAGCUGUUCGGACUUCGGUCUGAGUGGCUAAGCGAAAGUGAUAAGUAACCCACCUGGGGAGUACGUUCGCAAGAAUGAAACUCAAAGGAAUUGACGGGGGCCCGCACAAGCGGUGGAGCAUGUGGUUUAAUUCGAUGAUACGCGAGGAACCUUACCAGGGCUUAAAUGCAGUACGACAGGUCUAGAGAUAGACUUUUCUUCGGACGGAUUGCAAGGUGCUGCAUGGUUGUCGUCAGCUCGUGCCGUGAGGUGUCAGGUUAAGUCCUAUAACGAGCGCAACCCCUGUUGUUAGUUGCCAGCGAGUCAAGUCGGGAACUCUAACAAGACUGCCGGUGCAAACCGUGAGGAAGGUGGGGAUGACGUCAAAUCAUCACGGCCCUUAC
RNAcentral lists this ribosomal RNA (1207 nucleotides) under Hyphomicrobiales bacterium. RNAcentral's name for it is "bacterial SSU rRNA". It matches the Rfam family "Bacterial small subunit ribosomal RNA", at positions 1 to 1205 of the family's 1533-position model. The record is from RNAcentral. Lineage: Bacteria; Pseudomonadati; Pseudomonadota; Alphaproteobacteria; Hyphomicrobiales.